This 324-nucleotide long non-coding RNA is filed under the name Physcomitrium patens. RNAcentral describes it as "long non-coding RNA (PPAT_LNC010684)". The record is from RNAcentral. Lineage: Eukaryota; Viridiplantae; Streptophyta; Bryopsida; Funariales; Funariaceae.
CUUUUCUUUUGUUUGUUAUUUUCUUUGAAUAAGAGGAUUGAGAGUUUCUAAAUAUUAUGAAGUGAAUUAUGGAAUGGAAUUGUGAUUGGUAUUAUUUGAGAAGAAGAAAGAUUGAAUGCUGAAAUUUGAUUGUAGUUCAGCAGAGAGAAUGAGUCUGUGUUUGUGUGAAAUACUAUAAUAUGAAUAGUAGUUCUAUGUGAAGAAUUCCAGUGAUUGGAACGAGGAUAAUUGUGUGCUGAAAGCUAUGAGGGUGCAGUAUUACAGUUGGAGAUUAUGAGGGUGAAUAUAUUGGUGGAAAUAACAGUUAUUGGUAUGAAUGAAUUG